This 468-nucleotide ribosomal RNA is filed under the name uncultured bacterium. RNAcentral describes it as "partial 16S ribosomal RNA". It matches the Rfam family "Bacterial small subunit ribosomal RNA", at positions 28 to 507 of the family's 1533-position model. The record is from RNAcentral.
GACGAACGCUGGCGGCGUGCUUAACACAUGCAAGUCGAACGGAAAGGCCCUGCUUUUGUGGGGUGCUCGAGUGGCGAACGGGUGAGUAACACGUGAGUAACCUGCCCUUGACUUUGUGAUAACUUCAGGAAACUGGGGCUAUUACCGGAUAGGAGCUCCUGCUGCAUGGUGGGGGAUGGAAAGUGUCGGCGGUUGGGGAUGGACUCGCGGCUUCUCAGCUGGUUUGUGGGGUAGUUGAUUACCAAGGCUUUGACGGGUAGCCGGCCUGAGAGGGUGACCGGCCACAUUGGGACUGAGAUACGGCCCAGACUCCUACGGGAGGCAGCAGUGGAGAAUAUUGCACAAUGGGCGGAAGCCUGAUGCAGCAACGCCGCGUGCGGGAUGACGGCCUUCGGGUUGUAAACCGCUUUCGCCUGUAACGAAGCGUGAGUGACGGUAAUGGGUAAAGAAGCACCGGCUAACUACGUG